RNAcentral lists this small RNA (28 nucleotides) under Bombyx mori (domestic silkworm). RNAcentral describes it as "ovarian small RNA-6369". Lineage: Eukaryota; Metazoa; Arthropoda; Insecta; Lepidoptera; Bombycidae. The record is from RNAcentral.
UAGCGGUGUAUGCACGUGACGGCCUACU